UCCUCUUUUAAACAGCUGCUCUGUUUUUCAUCCAGCUCUCUUUUAUUUGUCUCGGGCUGUUCUCUUUUGUCUCCUCUCUUCCCUCUUUUCCCUUGACCUUCCUCCCCUUCGUUUUGCCUGUCAGCCACAUGGAAACAGGACAAGCUCUCAGACUUUUGACCUUAGCCAGUAUCUUGAUUUGCCUAAAGAUGAGACAUUCAAUCGUGAACAGUCGCAUGUGUUUUCCUCCCUCAAAUAUGCAAAAAAAAUUACUUAAUGGCCCGUUUCGCUCCAUGAAUGGUCAUUCAGUCCAGUGAAUUGGGGGACAAUUCGUGUGGUGGGAUUCUAGCUGGAGUAAUGGUCAGCAUCUGCGUUCAAACAUGAAGGUGUUCUAUUCAGGUGGUGACUGAAAGCGAGCAAAGGAGAGACGGGGCUGGUUGAUGAUGGGUGGGUACCUUAGUUGACAAGGUCAGGCCUUGUGCUGGGGCCAGGGCAAAGAGAUGAAUCAGGCCCCACCCUGCCCUGAGCAAGCUCACAGUCUGGAGGCAAGAGAAACACCCGACAGACUUAAAAUCCAGUAGAGAGGCACGCAGACCGUCAUGGCUUGAGGGGAAAGCAGCAGCCGUCCACUCACCUACUUGGCAAACUAGGAUGGGCUGCUCCCUGAGCUACCAGCCCUGAAGAAAUGAGAGUGAAAUGAGUUCUGCAGGUGAUCCUGGAUGUUUUGAAUGGCAAGCCAGGGUUCCAUGAAGUAGCAGGUGGAAGCUGCCAGCCCUUCUGAAGAAUGUCACUUCAGGAGUCUUAUCAGUCAUAGCAUCAAAGCCCAGUCCAGAUUCAAGAGGAUAGGACAUAAGCAACACAGGAGCUGCAUGGGCAGUAUAGAAGCAGAAUGGAUGCCAGCUCCUACAAGAUUCAAGCCCAGAGGGAAAGAGAGAGCUUCCCCCAGCAGCUGCGCAAAUGUCCCAGGACUGACUCAUUUCCAUCCCUGAACUAAAUACCAUGUUUAGGGCCAGGAAGAAGUCAUGUGCCCUCUCCUGGAGCUGGAUCAUCUUAACCUCACUCAAUUCACAUAUGGAAAGACCUGGGGGUGCGGGGGAUUGUCCAGAGAAAAACGGAGGAUGUCAUUGCUGGAAGAAAGAAAAAUAGACGCAGAGAAAAGCAAAGGUCCAAGGUCCACUCUCUAUUCCGCUUCCACUGCACACACACAGAGCCCCUGCCAGCUGCUUCUCCAGGCACCUGUCUGAUCAUGGCUUCACUGCCAAAGUGUGCUGUCAGGAGAAGGUGCCUUGAUGCCUCAGCACACGGGAGACAGAAGAGGCACACCCAUUUCAGAGCUCAGAGUCUCCCCGAAGACACCUUAGAGAAGUAACGGGAAU
Hipposideros armiger (great roundleaf bat) is the source of this 1355-nucleotide long non-coding RNA. RefSeq lists it as uncharacterized. The record is from RefSeq and is a predicted model, not a curated record. Lineage: Eukaryota; Metazoa; Chordata; Mammalia; Chiroptera; Hipposideridae. The transcript has 3 exons.